Molecule: ribosomal RNA, 329 nt
Filed under: uncultured eukaryote
Lineage: Eukaryota
Description: partial 18S ribosomal RNA
Rfam family: Eukaryotic small subunit ribosomal RNA
Source: RNAcentral
CCCUUAGAUGUUCUGGGCCGCACGCGCGCUACACUGAUGCAUUCAACGAGUCUAAAACCUGCUCUGAUAGGGGUGGGUAAUCUUUUGAAUGUGCAUCGUGAUUGGGAUAGAUGAUUGCAAUUUUUCAUCUUCAACGAGGAAUGCCUAGUAAACGCAAGUCAUCAGCUUGCAUUGAUUACGUCCCUGCCCUUUGUACACACCGCCCGUCGCUCCUACCGAUAGAAUGAUCCGAUGAAUAUCAUGGAUUGAGGAUGCAAGCAGGUUCGCCUGUCUUCAUCUUCGAGAAGUGAAGUAAAUCUUAUCAUUUAGAGGAAGGAGAAGUCGUAACA